CAGCAGCUUUGGCCUUAAACUCGGUUAUUAACCUCGACAUUUUGAUGUUGUUGAUCUAUGAGAAAUAUGUGACAAAGCUGCUCAGUUACUCUGGACACCUGAUCAUUACUCUUGCUCUUUAUGCUCUGGCCAGGCUAAGGUGAUGUUAUACCCGUCUCCCAUAAACUGGCUUGCUCCUCAUCACUGGAGUCUCUGAAACUCACACAUCUCUUGGUCCUCGUGGAAUGUGAGGGGUGCCAUACAGAUAGCACAGAGCUUCCCCAUCAGUCUGAAGCACAGCGAGCAGUAAUGGCCUGUCAAAGGAAAUCAUUUUGUCCAGCAGGAAGUACAUAUUGGAGAUACAUGAAGAGAAGCAGGAAGAAACCCAACUAUGCCUGUAGAAGUUUGAGCUCCUGGAGGAGGCCCAGCUCCUCUGAAACCUCCUCCAUGAUCUCCUGAGCAGCAUCCUGCAUGGACUGACUGUUGUUUAGAAGCAGGUCAAAGUUGUUGGAGCCCAUUCAACAUUUUCCAUCGUGUUACUUACUGGGCCUUGGAUAACAAAGGCACAGAUGAGGAAAAGAAGCACAUUUUUACCCACGACUGAAAGACAGAGAAAGAGAUGCACUGAGUGUUAUGCCUGGAAUUACCUCUCUUGAAAACUGUGAAGUAAUAGACUAUUGAUAAACAGAUGAUUUAACAGCAGUUUAAAGUUAAUUCAGAGGAGAUUAAAGAGAGACUGGGGCUAGGUUGUCACACGAGGAAGGACUGUAUCUCAGUAUCUGUAAGGUUUUGAAAAGUCCAAUCAAUGCUUGUGUUGUGAGUUGGUUCUAAGCACCUAGUUUUAAAUA
This is a long non-coding RNA of Cyprinus carpio carpio, 827 nucleotides long. The record is from Ensembl. NCBI's taxonomy places the organism in Eukaryota, Metazoa, Chordata, Actinopteri, Cypriniformes, Cyprinidae.